UACGGAGGAUGCGAGCGUUAUCCGGAUUUAUUGGGUUUAAAGGGUGCGCAGGCGGAUUUUUAAGUCAGCGGUCAAAUCGUGGGGCUCAACCCCAUCCAGCCGUGGAAACCGGGCAGCUAGAGAGCAUCAGAGGAUCGCGGAAUUCCAUGUGUAGCGGUGAAAUGCGUAGAUAUAUGGAGGAACACCAGUGGCGAAGGCGGCGAUCUGGGGUGCAACUGACGCUCAGUCCCGAAAGCGUGGGGAGCAAAUAGG
Molecule: ribosomal RNA, 252 nt
Filed under: uncultured bacterium
Lineage: Bacteria
Description: partial 16S ribosomal RNA
Rfam family: Bacterial small subunit ribosomal RNA
Source: RNAcentral